UACAGAGGUGGCAAGCGUUGUUCGGAAUUACUGGGCGUAAAGGGCGCGUAGGCGGCCCGUCAAGUCCCGUGUGAAAGCCCCCGGCUCAACCGGGGAACGGCGCGGGAAACUAGCAGGCUUGAGUUCGGGAGAGGGAAGCGGAAUUCCGGGUGUAGCGGUGAAAUGCGCAGAUAUCCGGAGGAACACCGGUGGCGAAGGCGGCUUCCUGGACCGGCACUGACGCUGAGGCGCGAAAGCUAGGGGAGCAAACGGG
Molecule: ribosomal RNA, 253 nt
Filed under: uncultured bacterium
Lineage: Bacteria
Description: partial 16S ribosomal RNA
Rfam family: Bacterial small subunit ribosomal RNA
Source: RNAcentral